GACGGGCACAAUGGCUUAAUAAUGAAUUGUAAUCAGACUUCGGACUCGACCGCGCGCGUACUCGAAUGGCAAUUGGCCGCGCAUUUCUCUCGGCCCGUACUCGACGCAAGGUUUCGAAACGGUAGCCCGGCGGCGAUCGUUGCAAUACAUUGUCGUUGCCACGUAGGCGCGCCCGUCGGUGUUUCGCGCGGCGACUUUUGUCGACAUUGCACGGGCCGGUGUAAUUAUCGGGCGCGCGUGGACGGCACUCGUUCACGCGGAAAGUCGGUCAAAUUGACGGUUGGGGGGGUGAGGUGUGGCGGUUGGAGG
This is a non-coding RNA of Cinara cedri, 309 nucleotides long. The record is from the annotation of a GenBank genome assembly. NCBI's taxonomy places the organism in Eukaryota, Metazoa, Arthropoda, Insecta, Hemiptera, Aphididae.